Molecule: ribosomal RNA, 564 nt
Filed under: uncultured bacterium
Lineage: Bacteria
Description: bacterial SSU rRNA
Rfam family: Bacterial small subunit ribosomal RNA
Source: RNAcentral
AACGAACGCUGGCGGCAUGCCUAACACAUGCAAGUCGAACGAGACCUUCGGGUCUAGUGGCGCACGGGUGCGUAACGCGUGGGAAUCUGCCCUAGGGUGCGGAAUAACUCGGAGAAAUCCGUGCUAAUACCGCAUAAUGUCUUCGGACCAAAGAUUUAUCGCCCUGGGAUGAGCCCGCGUUGGAUUAGCUAGUUGGUGGGGUAAAAGCCUACCAAGGCGACGAUCCAUAGCUGGUCUGAGAGGAUGAUCAGCCACACUGGGACUGAGACACGGCCCAGACUCCUACGGGAGGCAGCAGUGGGGAAUAUUGGACAAUGGGGGAAACCCUGAUCCAGCAAUGCCGCGUGAGUGAUGAAGGCCCUAGGGUUGUAAAGCUCUUUUACCCGGGAUGAUAAUGACAGUACCGGGAGAAUAAGCUCCGGCUAACUCCGUGCCAGCAGCCGCGGUAAUACGGAGGGAGCUAGCGUUGUUCGGAAUUACUGGGCGUAAAGCGCGCGUAGGCGGCGAACCAAGUCAGAGGUGAAAUCCCGGGGCUCAACCCCGGAACUGCCUUUGAAACUGGUU